RNAcentral lists this unclassified non-coding RNA (363 nucleotides) under uncultured bacterium. RNAcentral describes it as "contains 16S-23S intergenic spacer region". The record is from RNAcentral.
UCCCUGUUGCCAGGGCAGUCUAGCUAGAAAAAUUCAACUAACUAUAAGGGUUGCGCUCGUUGAUGGACUUAACCAAACAUCUCACGACACGAGCUGACGACGGCCAUGCAACACCUGUCACUGCAUUCCAAAAGGCACAUUCUACUUUCGUAGAACUUCGCAGGAUGUCAAGCCUGGGUAAGGUUCUUCGCUUACCAUCGAAUUAAACAACACGCUCCACCGCUUGUGCGGGUCCCCGUCAAUUCCUUUAUGUUUUAGUCUUGCGACCGUACUCCACAGGCGGGAUGCUUAACGCGUUAGCUUCGCUACAAGCCGGGUCGAUACGGCUUACAGCUAGCAUCCAUAGUUUACGGCGUGGACUAC